GCCGGCAUGUCGGAAUGGCAGACGAGGCAGACUCAAAAUCUGUUGUCAGAGAUGACGUGUGGGUUCGAGUCCCACCACCAGCA
This 83-nucleotide transfer RNA is filed under the name Lachnospiraceae bacterium. Its description in RNAcentral is "tRNA-Leu". It matches the Rfam family "tRNA". From Rfam's summary of the family: Transfer RNA (tRNA) molecules are approximately 80 nucleotides in length. Their secondary structure includes four short double-helical elements and three loops (D, anti-codon, and T loops). The record is from RNAcentral. Lineage: Bacteria; Bacillati; Bacillota; Clostridia; Lachnospirales; Lachnospiraceae.